GGACAGAGAAGAAAAUGAAAUGAGUGGAGCAGAAGAGAGGAGAACAGUUAGGGAGACAAUAGAACAGAAAGGUGGAGAGCAGGGGAGGAGUUAAACGGGGAGAUAAAGGAGAAAGGAAAGGAGAGAGGACAGAAAGAGGGACAUAAAGAGAUGUAAAAAAGAAAGAAAGAGGGGAAGAGAGGAGAAGAAUAAUGAGGAAUUACUGAUAAGUGAAAUAGAAAAAGAAGAAUAGGAGAGACAGAAGACAAAAAAAGAGAAAAGAAGAGGAGAGUAGCAGUGAUGAACGCAGCCCGGAUCCAUGACAAACACAAGCUGAAGUCAUUCUGGGAGCAGAGGAUUGUUCAGCACAGCGAGCAGAUGGACGAGGAGGAGAACCGUGUGAGGAGCAGCUCUCUGACACGGCUCAGGGAGCAGUGGUUGGUCCGGUUGGAUCAGAGGAAUCAGCACCAACAGAGCUUCUUCGAGGAGAGAAUCAGACGAGCUCAGAAAGCUCAGCAGAGCCUCAAGAAGCUCAACGCUCCUUAAAGAUGGGAAAUGAAGCUGGAGAAGGUCACAAAAUAUAUAUAUAUUUUUUUGGUUGCUGUCAGAAAAUGAAGGUUUUAUCCUCUACAUUGAAUUUUAUUCCUGGUGCCAUUGUUUUGUCAGUAUUUGGCUCACUUUAGCCACAGCAAGCUGUAUCAUCGUGUGUUUCCGCUGUUGCUGGAUAGCCUGCUUUCUAGGAGGACCAAGCAAGACCAAGCAGAAUCAAAUGUCAAAUGUGUCGUCACAACAUCAAUCCAACAAAAACAGCUCUCUUCAUAGCAAG
Larimichthys crocea (large yellow croaker) is the source of this 805-nucleotide long non-coding RNA. RefSeq lists it as uncharacterized. The record is from RefSeq and is a predicted model, not a curated record. NCBI's taxonomy places the organism in Eukaryota, Metazoa, Chordata, Actinopteri, Sciaenidae. The transcript has 3 exons.